RNAcentral lists this ribosomal RNA (429 nucleotides) under Verrucomicrobiota bacterium. Its description in RNAcentral is "Verrucomicrobia bacterium partial 16S ribosomal RNA". It matches the Rfam family "Bacterial small subunit ribosomal RNA", at positions 355 to 776 of the family's 1533-position model. Lineage: Bacteria; Pseudomonadati; Verrucomicrobiota. The record is from RNAcentral.
UAGGGAAUCUUCCGCAAUGGACGAAAGUCUGACGGAGCAACGCCGCGUGAGUGAAGAAGGAUUUCGGUUCGUAAAACUCUGUUGUUAGGGAAGAAAAAAUGUAUAGUAACUAUAUACAAAAGAGACGGUACCUAACCAGAAAGCCACGGCUAACUACGUGCCAGCAGCCGCGGUAAUACGUAGGUGGCAAGCGUUGUCCGGAAUUAUUGAGCGUAAAGCGCGCGCAGGUGGUUUAGAAAGUCUGAUGUGAAAGCCCACGGCUCAACCGUGGAGGGUCAUUGGAAACUAAUAAACUUGAGUGCAGGAGAGAAAAGUGGAAUUCCUAGUGUAGCGGUGAAAUGCGUAGAGAUUAGGAGGAAUACCGGUGGCGAAGGAGACUUUCUGGACUUUUACUGACGCUCAGGUACGAAAGCGUGGGGAGCAAACAGG